Molecule: ribosomal RNA, 406 nt
Filed under: uncultured bacterium
Lineage: Bacteria
Description: bacterial SSU rRNA
Rfam family: Bacterial small subunit ribosomal RNA
Source: RNAcentral
CAGGGCUUGACAUGUGGCUGCACGCCCCCUGAAAGGGGGGAAGCCUUCGAGGGUGCCACACAGGUGCUGCAUGGCUGUCGUCAGCUCGUGCCGUGAGGUGUUGGGUUAAGUCCCGCAACGAGCGCAACCCUUGUGGUUAGUUGCCCCUCCCGCAGAAAUGCGGGAAGCACUCUAGCCAGACUGCCUGUGAUAAGCAGGAGGAAGGUGGGGAUGACGUCAAGUCAGUAUGGUCCUUAUGCCCUGGGCUGCACACGUGCUACAAUGGCCGGCACAGAGGGAAGCAAAACCGCGAGGUGGAGUUAAUCCUCAAAACCGGCCACAGUUCAGAUUGAAGUCUGCAACUCGAUUUCAUGAAGCCGGAAUCGCUAGUAAAGGCGUAUCAGCUACGACGCCUUGAAUACGUUCC